GCUGGGACACAAUUCCACUCAUCCUCUUUCUCCCCCACUCCUCUUCUUUCUCCCCCACAAUUUUCUCCAACCCUAAUCGCCACCGCCAGGACACAACCGCCGUCGACGACCUGCCCCCUCGACCAGGUACCUCACCACCGCCGCUUGGACACAUCCGCCGUCGACGACCUGCCCCCUAGACCAGGUACCUCAACGCCGCCCCCUUACCUCUCAUCGCGUCGAUGAGCUGCGUCGUCGCCGACUUCACUCGCCGCAUCCCGCUCUAUCUCAUUGACAUCCGCAUUUCUCUCGCCCCUUCCACCUAACACGCCCCAUCCACAUUUCUCUCGCCAACCCCUAAACCCUAACCAUCGCUGGAUUUGGGUCAUCGCAGACGACCUUGAUGGUGAACAUAAGGAGGCACAGAAGUCAGAAAGGUCCACAAGAAGAAGUAUCCUAGAAGUGCUAGAAACACAACCCUUGCUUCAAAGAAGAAGAGAAACCCCAACAUGGAUCUAGGAAUUAGGUUCAGCAAGAGAGUGAGGGCAGGCGAGGACACAAAGGGAAAACAACUGGACAGGAUGACUAAAGUUAUGCAAAGGAGACUGUCCAUAGCUGUUGAGGAAGGCAAAAAAAGGCCACAUGAACCUGUUCAAGCUGCCAAGUUUGCAUCAGAGGCUGGCAUCAUUAUUCGGGAAACCAUGCCUAUCCUAACUCGUUGGAAAGAUUACAAGGACGACCAGAAAUACUACAACAGCUUUGUGUCACAGCUAAAUGGGCGCUUGUCCGUUAACACUAAGGACAAGGCAACAAAGGAAGCUUGCACCGAUAUGCUACACUCUGCGGUAAAAAAACCAGCAUUAUCGGCUCAAGCAGCAAUACUUCAAUGGUGUACCUGCAAAUGAGAUUAGGACAACUUCUCCUGUAUCUUACAUGACUAAUGAACAGUGUAGGGCAUUAGUUGCAAAGUGGUCUGAUCCAAAGAACAUUGUAUGGGUAUCUUGUCAUAUAUUCUUCUUUCACUAUAAGUUUGCAAAGGAUCUUCGCAUAUUGAACCUAUGAUCUAAUCUGACAUGUUCAUUCUCUUGUAGGAAAUAAGUGAAAAGAACAAGCAGAACCGCAGUCAAGUCAAGUUUCAUCAGGCUACGGGUUCUCACUGCUAUGUGGCACACUUACAUGCAUAUAAGCAGAAGAGAAACAUAGAAGAACCCAGCUUAGAUCAGACUGAAGAACUAGAUGCGGUGGACGCCUUCAAGACCUACCAUACCAGCUCCAAACGUGUCCUGAGUGAAUCGGCAAGAGAAGCACUUUUAAGUUCAUUCGUUUGCUUUAUUUAGUGUAUUUUUUAUGAGAUCAUAUGAGGCAACACAGUUAAUCAUUCACUUGAAAUAUUGGGUAGAGAUCAAACACAUUUUGCAGGACAAUAUCUCUAACUAAGAAAGUUUUAGGAAGAGUUUUGCUACUCUCUACUAUCCUUCCACCAUUGAUGAGUUUCACAUUAUUGUCAGCUCCAAAUCUGCUAUAAUUUGUCAUCACUAGAUGUCACAUCUUAUCAGUUUUAAAUUUUCAGAAAAUAGAAAUUUUAUUGCCUGAUUGUCCAACUGACAGUCUUCUGGAAAGGAACAUGAUAUCAGAGAUCAUUUGUGCCUAAAUCUCUGCAUUUUUACCUCUCCAAAGCAAAUGCCAACUGCAAUCAGUUUCUGUCAGUGUAGCAUUGGUUAUUAUUUCAUUAUAAACACCUUGUGUCAUAUGUCUUCCUCAAAUUAUUGCAAUAACUAACAAUUGUCAUCUUGCUGUUGCUCAUUAGCAUUAACGUGUAACUGUUUUCUGUCCAUGAUAUUUCAGUCUCAUAUGGAGGCUUUGAGGGCUGAACCUGUUGCUGAAGGUGAGAUGCCAGCAUCCAGUGUGCACCUUGUGUCCAAGGUGCUAUCCCAGAGCAGCUCACACCAUUUCCUGAAGAGCGUUGGCAUCAAAACAUCGGCAUCCUCCAAGUCAUCAUCAUCAAAUCAAAGUGAGCUUCCGGAACAACUUGCAGCUGAAGCGACGGUUGCUGUUCAAGGUGAACUCGACCAACUCAAGAAGAAAUGUGAAGAAGCUAAGGAACAGCAGGCGAGGACACAAAGGGAGUUUGAGGAGUACAAGAAGAUAACAGAGAAGAACAACAAGGAGAUGGAGGAGACCAAUGUGCUCAUCAAGAAGCUCUUGCCCUUGCAUGGUAACGCUUCUUCUUCGACAUGAGGGCCGCUGGUCAGAGCUGCUGUGUUUGGCCUGUUCUUUGACAUGAGGGUACCCAAAAACUCAAGUUGAUCGUGGGUGUCAACUUUUUAUUAUAUGAUGUUAUGUUUGUGCAAACUCAACUGAAAUGUGAAGUCAAGUGGUGAUGUUGUGAACUGAGUUCAGUGUUGUCCACUUAGUGUGUAUGCUCACUGGAAUACUAGUUUUAUUCAUCUACGGAAUAUGGAAUUGUGUGCUCAUUCCUCUUUUCUA
RNA transcript from Zea mays, 2466 nucleotides. RefSeq lists it as uncharacterized. The record is from RefSeq and is a predicted model, not a curated record. The transcript has 4 exons. NCBI's taxonomy places the organism in Eukaryota, Viridiplantae, Streptophyta, Magnoliopsida, Poales, Poaceae.